CCUACGGGAGGCAGCAGUGGGGAAUAUUGCACAAUGGGGGAAACCCUGAUGCAGCAACGCCGCGUGAAGGAAGACGGUUUUCGGAUUGUAAACUUCUGUUCUUAGUGAAGAAUAAUGACGGUAGCUAAGGAGCAAGCCACGGCUAACUACGUGCCAGCAGCCGCGGUAAUACGUAGGUGGCAAGCGUUGUCCGGAAUUACUGGGUGUAAAGGGAGCGCAGGCGGGAAGCCAAGUCAGCUGUGAAAACUACGGGCUUAACUUGUAGACUGCAGUUGAAACUGGUUUUCUUGAGUGAAGUAGAGGUUGGCGGAAGUCCGGGUGUAGCGGUGAAAUGCGUAGAUAUUCGGAGGAACACCGGUGGCGAAGGCAGCCAACUGGGCUUUAACUGACGCUGAGGCUCGAAAGUGUGGGGAGCGAACAGGAUUAGAUACCCCAGUAGUC
RNAcentral lists this ribosomal RNA (441 nucleotides) under uncultured bacterium. RNAcentral describes it as "partial 16S ribosomal RNA". It matches the Rfam family "Bacterial small subunit ribosomal RNA", at positions 338 to 795 of the family's 1533-position model. The record is from RNAcentral.